This 1369-nucleotide long non-coding RNA is filed under the name Homo sapiens (human). RNAcentral's name for it is "HSALNT0310035". Lineage: Eukaryota; Metazoa; Chordata; Mammalia; Primates; Hominidae. The record is from RNAcentral.
UCUCACUCUGUAGCCCAGGCUGGAAUGCAGUGGUGCGAUCUCAGCUCACCGCAACCUCCGCCUCCGGAGUUCAAGCAAUUCUCCUGCCUCAGCCUCUGAGUAGCUGGGACUACAGGCACACACCACCAUGCCCAGAGAGAAACAGAAGUGGCUGGUUAUGAAAACCGGCAGCACAGCUUUUUCCCUCCCUGUGGUGUCUUCCCAGAUAAGAAAGCAGGCCUGAAUCCCGGGUGCUGUUCUUCCAGACCACAUGAAAGAUUCUGCAUAUCUGUUACAUUCUAAGGCCACUUCACAACACUACCAAACCCAGCUUUACAGUUUGGAAGACUGAGAGAAUCAUACCCAAAGCCACAAACAUCCAAAUAUGGUGUUCUUCACAAGAAACUAAUAAUGAACUUGAGACAGAGUCUGCAGGGAUAGGUAUCAGAAGUCAAGUCUAAAGUAUAUGAGGUCUAUGUUCAAACAGGAGCCUGGACAUGACUGAGAUAAAGAAUGAUUCCCGAGCUGGGCACACUGGCUUAUGCCUAUAAUUCCAGUGACUCAGAAGGCUGAGGCAAGAGGAUUGCUUGAGGCCAAGAGUCUGAGGCUCUAUUGAGCUAUGAUUGCACCACUACUGUCCAACCUGGGGGACACAGCAAGAGCUUGUCUCUUAAAAAAGAAAAAAAAAGAUUGAGUCCAGAGUUAGAGCUACAGGAUAAAAAUAAGUUAACUGAACUCAGGGGGAGAAAGGAGGGGAACCUACUCCAAAUUCUAGCUCAGGUCUUACCUAAAUGUGGGCUGGCUCAGCUCCCAAGUGGCUGAGUGAGGUCAUGACUGAGAAGAAAGGACCCCUGGCCCAAGUCGUGAGUUGAAUGACUCUUAGGUUGAGAAGCUUUCGUACCUAAGAAUCAAGUGGCCAGUGGUGCACCAUGGGAGAGAUGAUCACCAAACUUUUCUUCUCUUUGAGGUCACACACCUAGAUUACCUGCCCCAGUCUCCCUUGCAGUUAGAUCUGGCUGUGAGGUUGAGUUUUAGCCAGUGGGAUAAAGAUGGAAGUUUCCACUGGCCUAACCCAUAAAUUCCUCCACAACUCUUCCCACUUUUAAUCUUAUGCCCCCAUGUCGUCUCUUCUCCCAGCCUUCUUCGUCUCAAUAAAUGUCACUAGCACAUAUCCAGUCAUUCAAGGAAAAACACAAUGGAGAAAACCAUCCUCAACUACCCAUUCCCUUUACCUCACUCUUUCCCAGCAUCCUGCAAAAUCUCGCUCCAAAUAUAGCUCCAGUUUGUCCACUUCCCUCCCUUUUCUCCAGUCUAUAACCUUGGUUUACUCCAUCACUAUCUCUCAAUUAGACUAUUGAAAUAAAAUCCUACCUGGAAUUUAAACUCUUAA